CAACCUUAUCUCCCCUGUCCCUUGCCCCACCCCCUCCAUCGCCCCUCCCCCAACCAAUCUUGCCCACACCGCAGAUGCCUCCUCCGCCCCCCAACGACGGCGACAGGGACGCCGGCGCCCUAACCCGCGUCUCCUUCCACCUCCCCCAGCUCGUCUUCUCGCCGGCCGCUUUAGAGGAGCCUCCUUUCGCGCGUGCAUCAUGGUCGGGCUGCGGCGACCACCAGAGGUCCACCGCGGCAGGAGCUCCCUCCUUCUCCACUACGAGGCACCAGCAGAGGGGGACGACUCCUCCUUCCAUCCCUAGCUGCGACAUCCAACCUCUAACGUAGAUUGAAACCCUAGCCCGAAUCCGGCAGAGACAGUUAAAGGAAGGGGGCGGGCCAUGGAGAAGCUGCAAGGUGUGGGCCUGAAGCCAUGGAUGGUUGUGUUUGGUAUGAGGAUAGCGGACGGCGAGGAGGCACCGAACCAAGCGGCGGGCAAGGAUGAAGUGAAGCUGCACGCACCGUCGUCAUAUCCCUCCUCCGCCUGCUGUUACUAGAAGCAAGCGCAGUACCAUCUCAUUUCAUCACGAGGUAUGACUCAUCCUCGCAUUCUUACUUCGCCUUUGUUUCCUUCAGCUUCUUGAUCCUGAAAUUUUAUGAUAAAUUGGUGAUCGACGAGGACUACUGCGGCCCGAUGGGAGUCGUGCUCUUCAACUACUCGGAGGCAGACUUCACCGUGAAGCCCCGCGACCGUGUCAUAGAGAUUAUCGUCCAGGUGAUUGCGACGCAGGAGGUCCCCGGGGUGGAGGACCUCGACGCCACCGUUCGGAGGUCACAGAGGUGGAGGACGACGCCACGGUCCGGAGUUCCUCAAGGUGGAGGACCUCGACGCUUUGUACAUACAUCUAGAGAAGUGGUCUGGUUAGGUUGGUGGUGAAAUGCUAGGGAAGGUACCAACCUUUUGAUGAUGGUUGUGUGUGUCCUCGUGAUCUCUUCGAAUUGAGAUGUUGAAUGUUGCAUCCAUGAACACUGCAAGUGUUAAGAUGGUUCUGUGAAAUUUAUUUUGCAUUGGACGUGUCUCUGAUCUCCAUUCAUGAAUA
This is a long non-coding RNA of Triticum aestivum (bread wheat), 1081 nucleotides long. RefSeq lists it as uncharacterized. Lineage: Eukaryota; Viridiplantae; Streptophyta; Magnoliopsida; Poales; Poaceae. The transcript has 4 exons. The record is from RefSeq and is a predicted model, not a curated record.